AUACGUAGGGUGCGAGCGUUGUCCGGAAUGAUUGGGCGUAAAGGGCGCGUAGGCGGCCCGGUAAGUCUGGAGUGAAAGUCCUGUUUUUAAGAUGGGAAUUGCUUUGGAUACUGUCGGGCUUGAGUGCAGGAGAGGUAAGUGGAAUUCCCAGUGUAGCGGUGAAAUGCGUAGAGAUUGGGAGGAACACCAGUGGCGAAGGCGACUUACUGGGCCGUAACUGACGCUGAGGCGCGAAAGCGUGGGGAGCGAACAGGAUUAGAUACCCUGGUAGUCCACGCGGUAAACGAUGAAUGCUAGGUGUUGCGGGUAUCGACCCCUGCAGUGCCGGAGUAAACACAAUAAGCAUUCCGCCUGGGGAGUACGGCCGCAAGGUUGAAACUUAAAGGAAUUGGCGGGG
This 397-nucleotide ribosomal RNA is filed under the name uncultured bacterium. RNAcentral's name for it is "partial 16S ribosomal RNA". It matches the Rfam family "Bacterial small subunit ribosomal RNA", at positions 523 to 918 of the family's 1533-position model. The record is from RNAcentral.